AUUGAACGCUGGCGGCAUGCUUUACACAUGCAAGUCGAACGGUAGCGCGGGCUUCGGCCUGGCGGCGAGUGGCGAACGGGUGAGUAAUGCAUCGGAACGUGCCCAGUAGUGGGGGAUAGCCCGGCGAAAGCCGGAUUAAUACCGCAUACGACCUGAGGGUGAAAGCGGGGGACCGAAAGGCCUCGCGCUAUUGGAGCGGCCGAUGUCGGAUUAGCUAGUUGGUGGGGUAAAGGCUUACCAAGGCGACGAUCCGUAGCUGGUCUGAGAGGACGACCAGCCACACUGGGACUGAGACACGGCCCAGACUCCUACGGGAGGCAGCAGUGGGGAAUUUUGGACAAUGGGGGCAACCCUGAUCCAGCCAUGCCGCGUGCGGGAAGAAGGCCUUCGGGUUGUAAACUGCUUUUGUUCGGGAAGAAAUCCUCUGGGCUAAUACCCCGGGGGGAUGACGGUACCGGAAGAAUAAGCACCGGCUAACUACGUG
RNAcentral lists this ribosomal RNA (484 nucleotides) under uncultured bacterium. Its description in RNAcentral is "partial 16S ribosomal RNA". It matches the Rfam family "Bacterial small subunit ribosomal RNA", at positions 28 to 507 of the family's 1533-position model. The record is from RNAcentral.